RNAcentral lists this non-coding RNA (29 nucleotides) under Rattus norvegicus (Norway rat). Lineage: Eukaryota; Metazoa; Chordata; Mammalia; Rodentia; Muridae. The record is from RNAcentral.
UCUACGGUCAGUGCCAAUGCAUCGAUUCA